CAUCAGUUUGGUUUGCUUGCAAACCAAAGCUGGCGACCGGCGCACGGGUGAGUAACACGUAUCCAACCUGCCUCAUACUCGGGGAUAGCCUUUCGAAAGAAAGAUUAAUAUCCGAUAGCAUAUAUUUCCCGCAUGGGUUUUAUAUUAAAGAAAUUCGGUAUGAGAUGGGGAUGCGUUCCAUUAGUUUGUUGGCGGGGUAACGGCCCACCAAGACUACGAUGGAUAGGGGUUCUGAGAGGAAGGUCCCCCACAUUGGAACUGAGACACGGUCCAAACUCCUACGGGAGGCAGCAGUGAGGAAUAUUGGUCAAUGGACGCGAGUCUGAACCAGCCAAGUAGCGUGAAGGAUGACUGCCCUAUGGGUUGUAAACUUCUUUUAUAUGGGAAUAAAGUGGUCCACGUGUGGAUUUUUGUAUGUACCAUAUGAAUAAGGAUCGGCUAACUCCGUGCCAGCAGCCGCGGUAAUACGGAGGAUCCGAGCGUUAUCCGGAUUUAUUGGGUUUAAAGGGAGCGUAGGCGGAUUGUUAAGUCAGUUGUGAAAGUUUGCGGCUCAACCGUAAAAUUGCAGUUGAUACUGGCAGUCUUGAGUGCAGUAGAGGUGGGCGGAAUUCGUGGUGUAGCGGUGAAAUGCUUAGAUAUCACGAAGAACUCCGAUUGCGAAGGCAGCUCACUGGAGUGUAACUGACGCUGAUGCUCGAAAGUGUGGGUAUCAAACAGG
RNAcentral lists this ribosomal RNA (718 nucleotides) under uncultured Bacteroidales bacterium. RNAcentral's name for it is "bacterial SSU rRNA". It matches the Rfam family "Bacterial small subunit ribosomal RNA", at positions 63 to 776 of the family's 1533-position model. The record is from RNAcentral. Lineage: Bacteria; Pseudomonadati; Bacteroidota; Bacteroidia; Bacteroidales.